UACGUAGGGGGCGAGCGUUAUCCGGAUUUACUGGGCGUAAAGCGUGUUAAGGCUGUUGGCAAAGUUGAUGGUGAAAUUGCAGGGCUCAACCCUGCAACUGCCGUCAAUACUGGUCGACUAGAGUGCAAGAGAGGAAAGUGGAAUUCCCGGUGUAGUAGUGAAAUGCGUAGAUAUCGGGAGGAACACCAGUGGCGAAGGCGGCUUUCUGGCUUGCAACUGACGCUGUAGCACGAAAGCGUGGGGAGCGAACAGG
Molecule: ribosomal RNA, 253 nt
Filed under: uncultured bacterium
Lineage: Bacteria
Description: partial 16S ribosomal RNA
Rfam family: Bacterial small subunit ribosomal RNA
Source: RNAcentral